CCUCUCCCUCUCCCUCUCCCCGUCUCCCUCUCCCUCUCCCUCUCCCCGUCUCCCUCUCCCUCUCAUGCCGAGCCAAAGCUGGACGGUACUGCUGCCAUCUCGGCUCACUGCAACCUCCCUGCCUGAUUCUCCUGCCUCAGCCUGCCGAGUGCCUGCGAUUGCAGGCGCGCGCCGCCACGCCUGACUGGUUUUCGUUUUUUUUUUGGUGGAGAUGGGGUUUCGCUGUGUUGGCCGGGCUGGUCUCCAGCUCCUAACCGCGAGUGAUCCGCCAGCCUCGGCCUCCCGAGGUGCCGGGAUUGCAGAUGGAGUCUCGUUCACUCAGUGCUCAAUGGUGCCCAGGCUGGAGUGCAGUGGCGUGAUCUCGGCUUGCUACAACCACCUCCCAGCCGCCUGCCUUGGCCUCCCAAAGAGCCGAGAUUGCAGCCUCUGCCCGGCCGCCACGCCGUCUGGGAAGUGAGGAGCGUCUCUGCUUGGCCACCCAUCGUCUGGGAUAUGAGGAGCCCCUCUGCCUGGCUGCCCAGUGUGGAAAGUGAGGAGCGUCUCUGCCCGGCCGCCAUCCCAUCUAGGAAGCGAGAAGCGCCUCUUCCCCGCCGCCAUCCCAUCUAGGAAGUGAGGAGCGUCUCUGCCCGGCCGCCCAUCGUCUGAGAUGUGGGGAGCACCUCUGCCCCACCGCCCUGUCUGGGAUGUGAGGAGCGCCUCUGCUGGGCCGCAACCCUGUCUGGGAGGUGAGGAGUGUCUCUGCCCGGCCGCUCCGUCUGAGAAGUGAGGAAACCCUCUGCCUGGCAACCGCCCCGUCUGAGAAGUGAGGAGCCCCUCCGUCUGGCAACCACCCCGUCUGGGAAGUGAGGAGCGUCUCCGCCCGGCAGCCACCCCGUCCGGGAGGGAGGUGGGGGGGGUCAGCCCCCCGCCCGGCCAGCCGCCCCGUCCGGGAGGUGAGGGGCUCCUCUGCCCGGCCGCCCCUACUGGGAAGUGAGGAGCCCCUCUGCCCGGCCAGCCGCCCCGUCCGGGAGGGAGGCGGGGGGGGGUGGUCGGCCAUCCGCCCCGUCCGGGAGGUGAGGGGCGCCUCUGCCCGGCCGCCCCUACUGGGAAGUGAGGAGCCCCUCUGCCCGGCCAGCCGCCCCGUCCGGGAGGGAGGUGGGGGGGUCAGCCCCCCUUCCGGCCGGCUGCCCCGUCCGGGAGGUGAGGGGCGCCUCUGCCCGGCCGCCCCUACUGGGAAGUGAGGAGCCCCUCUGCCUGGCCAGCCGCCCCGUCCGGGAGGGCGGUGGGGGGGUCAGCCCCCCGCCCGGCCAGCCGCCCCAUCUGGGAGGUGAGGGGCGCUUCUGCCGGGCCGCCCCUACUGGGAAGUGAGGAGCCCCUCUGCCCGGCCACGACCCCGUCUGGGAGGUGUGCCCAGCGGCUCAUUGGGGAUGGGCCAUGAUGACAAUGGCGGUUUUGUGGAAUAGAAAGGCGGGAAGGGUGGGGAAAAAAUUGAGAAAUCGGAUGGUUGCCGGGUCUGUGUGGAUAGAAGUAGACAUGGGAGACUUUUCAUUUUGUUCUGUACUAAGAAAAAUUCUUCUGCCUUGGGAUCCUGUUGAUCUGUGACCUUAUCCCCAACCCUGUGCUCUCUGAAACAUGUGCUGUGUCCACUCAGGGUUAAAUGGAUUAAGGGCGGUGCAAGAUGUGCUUUGUUAAACAGAUGCUUGAAGGCAGCAUGCUCGUUAAGAGUCAUCACCACUCCCUAAUCUUAAGUACCCAGGGACACAAACACUGCGGAAGGCCGCAGGGUCCUCUGCCUAGGAAAACCAGAGACCUUUGUUCACUUGUUUAUCUGCUGACCUUCCCUCCACUAUUGUCCUGUGACCCUGCCAAAUCCCCCUCUGCGAGAAACACCCAAGAAUGAUCAAUAAAAAAAAAAAAAAAAAAAAAAGAAUUUGAACCAGAAAU
Molecule: long non-coding RNA, 1923 nt
Filed under: Homo sapiens (human)
Lineage: Eukaryota; Metazoa; Chordata; Mammalia; Primates; Hominidae
Description: HSALNT0308344
Source: RNAcentral